RNAcentral lists this long non-coding RNA (330 nucleotides) under Pan troglodytes (chimpanzee). Its description in RNAcentral is "lincRNA". The record is from RNAcentral. Lineage: Eukaryota; Metazoa; Chordata; Mammalia; Primates; Hominidae.
CUACCCCCGGAGGCUCGGAACAGCUUGGGCGGGCGUUUGGUCUGGUUUGUCGCCUCAGAUGGAUCAAAAGGUUUCUGCUGAUAGGCAAAGUUGCCCCACUUUCCGCGGCGGCGACGCGGAGUUACUUUCUGCAGCGAGGCAGCCUCGAGGACCUUAAAGGGAAAAGGCGGACAGAAGGAGGGCGAGCGCGCUUGGUUUCGACCUUUAAGGGAGGCCCAGAUGCUGUCAGGCCCCUCAGUUUACCUUGCGAAGUUACUUACGGAUCAGCAGCAUUUGGCCUUCGUCGGGUGGGGGAGAAACCUAGGCAUCAAAUAAAUUCUGUUUCACAGA